CAAUAGCGUAUACUAAUGUUGUUGCAGUUAAAAAGCUCGUAGCUGAACUUCUGGUAGGAGUGUCCCGGCCUUUUUGUUUUUACAAAUUGUAUGCUGUGUGACAUCUCUGGCCAUCCUUCUUCUUUGUUUAAAGAAGAUCUUUCACUGUAAAAAAAUUAGGGUGUUCAAAGCAAAAGUUUCUUUGGAAUAUAUUAGUAUGGGAUGAUAAGAUAGGCUCUAGAUGCUAUUUUGUUGGUUUGCACAUUUAGAGAAUGAUUAACAGGGACAGUUGGGGGUAUUCGUAUUUACAUGUCAGAGGUGAAAUUCUUGGAUUUUGGAAAGACGAACUACUGCGAAAGCAUUUACCAAGGAUGUUUUCAUUAA
This 363-nucleotide ribosomal RNA is filed under the name uncultured eukaryote. RNAcentral describes it as "partial 18S ribosomal RNA". It matches the Rfam family "Eukaryotic small subunit ribosomal RNA", at positions 592 to 976 of the family's 1831-position model. The record is from RNAcentral.